GAUGAACGCUGGCGGCGUGCCUAAUACAUGCAAGUAGAACGCUGAAGGAGGAGCUUGCUCUUCUGGAUGAGUUGCGAACGGGUGAGUAACGCGUAGGUAACCUGCCUGGUAGCGGGGGAUAACUAUUGGAAACGAUAGCUAAUACCGCAUGACAACAGUUAUUGCAUGAUAACUGUUUAAAAGGGGCAACUGCUCCACUACCAGAUGGACCUGCGUUGUAUUAGCUAGUUGGUGAGGUAACGGCUCACCAAGGCGACGAUACAUAGCCGACCUGAGAGGGGGAUCGGCCAGACUGGGACUGAGACACGGCCCAGACUCCUACGGGAGGCAGCAGUAGGGAAUCUUCGGCAAUGGACGGAAGUCUGACCGAGCAACGCCGCGUGAGUGAAGAAGGGUUUCGGAUCGUAAAGCUCUGUUGUAAGAGAAGAACGAGUGUGAGAGUGGAAAGUUCACACUGUGACGGUAGCUUACCAGAAAGAGACGGCUAACUACGUG
RNAcentral lists this ribosomal RNA (495 nucleotides) under uncultured bacterium. Its description in RNAcentral is "partial 16S ribosomal RNA". It matches the Rfam family "Bacterial small subunit ribosomal RNA", at positions 28 to 507 of the family's 1533-position model. The record is from RNAcentral.